RNAcentral lists this ribosomal RNA (479 nucleotides) under uncultured Diversispora. Its description in RNAcentral is "SSU rRNA". It matches the Rfam family "Eukaryotic small subunit ribosomal RNA", at positions 569 to 1048 of the family's 1831-position model. The record is from RNAcentral. Lineage: Eukaryota; Fungi; Glomeromycota; Glomeromycetes; Diversisporales; Diversisporaceae.
AGCAGCCGCGGUAAUUCCAGCUCCAAUAGCGUAUAUUAAAGUUGUUGCAGUUAAAAAGCUCGUAGUUGAACUUCGGGGUUUACCCAUUGGUCAGGCUUAAUUGUCUGUACUGGUGAGAUAAAUCUCUACCUUCUGAGGAACUUUCAUGUCAUUAAUUGGUGUGAUUGGAAAUCAGGACUGUUACUUUAGAAAAAAUUAGAGUGUUUAAAGCAGGCUAACGUCUGAAUACAUUAGCAUGGAAUAAUGAAAUAGGACGGACUGAUUCUAUUUCGUUGGUUUCUAGGAUCACCGUAAUGAUUAAUAGGGAUAGUUGGGGGCAUUAGUAUUCAAUUGUCAGAGGUGAAAUUCUUGGAUUUAUUGAAGACUAACUACUGCGUAAGCAUUUUGCCAAGGAUGUUUUUCAUUAAUCAAGAACGAAAGUUAGGGGAUCGAAGACGAUCAGAUACCGUCGUAGUCUUAACCAUAAACUAUGCCGACUA